RNAcentral lists this long non-coding RNA (456 nucleotides) under Castor canadensis (American beaver). Its description in RNAcentral is "lncRNA (ENSCCNG00000004889.1)". The record is from RNAcentral. Lineage: Eukaryota; Metazoa; Chordata; Mammalia; Rodentia; Castoridae.
CCCGCAAACCUGGAACUUUCGGAUUGCUUCCGAGCUUGAAGUGAGCUGUCAGGACAGAGGCAUGGAUAUUUGAGGCACAGAACUUCUCUGAAAUGUUGUUUGAAGCUGAUGCCAAGUGAAGUGCUUCAGUGAUUAUCAUAGAAAAAGAAGCCUAAGAUGAUACAGUAUUAAUAUCAACUGCAGGCCUACAGUAAUACUGUGGGGGCUUGUAAAUGAAUACAUCAGUGAGUUCAAAGGUGAAAUGCCACUUCUGCUGCUCCAGGUAGAACCAUUAAACAGAAGAAAACACAGAGUGCUCGGAGCUUCACCAGGUGCUGCUUCCUGAUUUCAGCUGACCAGCUGAAGCACCAGUUUGCCCUUAAACUACCCACGUGGUGGGGGAGGGGAGAAGUGGCCCAAACAAUGUAUGCACACGUGAAUAAAUGAAUAAAAAUAAAUAAAUAAAUAAACUACUCA